UACAGAGGUCCCAAGCGUUGUUCGGAAUUACUGGGCGUAAAGCGCACGUAGGCGGACUGUUAAGUCGGGGGUGAAAUCCUGGGGCUCAACCUCAGAAUUGCCUCCGAUACUGGCAGUCUCGAGUGCGGGAGAGGUGAGUGGAAUUCCCAGUGUAGAGGUGAAAUUCGUAGAUAUUGGGAAGAACACCAAUGGCGAAGGCGGCUCACUGGCCCGUAACUGACGCUGAGGUGCGAAAGCGUGGGGAGCAAACAGG
Molecule: ribosomal RNA, 253 nt
Filed under: uncultured bacterium
Lineage: Bacteria
Description: partial 16S ribosomal RNA
Rfam family: Bacterial small subunit ribosomal RNA
Source: RNAcentral